AGUAAAGUACAAUACAAAAUGCCCCCCAAAGGUGUCCAUAGCCUUUAAAAGGGUUUUCCCGAUUUUAUGUAAAUAAGGAUUGUAUAAGAUUUGACAAAGGGUCUAUUAUUUUUCCAGAAACAGCACCACUGUUCUCCAUGGGCAGUGCUUGGUAUGGAGGCUCAGCCUCACUCACUUGACUGGGGAUGAGCAGCAAUACCAGCCUCAGCCACUGGACAAGAGCGGUGCCGUUUCUAGAGGGGUUAAAAAAAAAAAUAUAUACCCUUUGUCUCAUCUUACACAACUCUUUUAAAGCACUGCAAUCUGCCACAGAUCUCUGACAGCUGUCAGUAAAUGUUAAGGUGCACAGCUCAUUAGAAAAGAGCUCUGCAGCUGUGCCAGUUGGACUUGAUCAGGGCAGGAGUUCUGAUGUAAAAUACGUUUCCAUACAAUGACAGCAAGCAAAGAUAUGAGGAAAGGUUGCAAAACUUUUCAUAGCACAAUGAAUAUACUUUAGUGGAAAAAAAAUAAAAUAAACUUAAAGGGGUUUUCUGGGGGGCUCUCGGCACAUGUCCUGCCAUCAACACACAGAGGGAAGCAUACUUCCCUACCAGCUUCGCUCUCCCACCGCUAUGACGCAAGGGGAGCAGGUCACUGCUGCAGCCAGUCAUUGCCUGCAGAGGUGUCAAACAAGAUCUGCGACUAAUCAUUGUGAAUGUGGUUGCAGUGAGAUCCAGCAGGUUUGUAUCUCUGCCCACUACUGUAAACGCAAUAAACUGCGGGUAGCAACGCAACAACAUUCACCGUUCGCUGCGACAAAACAGGACAAGAUGGCGAUCUUAUGUUGUGCGGUCACGAUUCACCGUGUAGCCCUAGCCUUAAAAGGGAUUUCCCAAGAUUUAAACAUAUCCCCUAUUCACAGGAUAGGUGCUAAGUGUCUGAUCGUGGGGGGCAACUUCUCGGACCAGCACUGACCUUGAUAAUGAUGGUCCUCCUUCCCGCCUCCAUAUGAAUGGUACAAUGGUUAGGCAGGCGCAAUGCUGCUCCAUUCAUCUGUAUGGGACUGACCGAGAUACCUGAGGGCUAUGCUCUGCUUCUCUUCUACACCUAUAGAGAUGGAUGGAGCGGCAGCGUCCAUGCUCGACCACCGCUCCAUUCAUAGGUGGGAUCUCGUGAUCCGUCCUGUGGAUAGGUAAUACGUUCAAAUCCUGGAACAUCCCCUUUAAUCUUCAGUUCAGUCUUUUUUAUUUUCCUUUUUAUUGUGACCCAAUCAAAGGGGUAGGUCCAGGAUUAUGCCGAUUUCUAGAAGAUAGCAGACAUGUUUUUCUAAUCCUGGACAACCCCUUAAGGUUUUACACCGUGGAAUAAAAUAUUUGUGCAAAGUAGCCGAGAUUUGUUUUUUUUCCUUUUUUAUUUCCCUGCAGUUUUUACUCAUCAAGAACAAGUAACAGGGAAAACUGUCUGAACUAGUGCGACGACGAACAAUCUGAUAGAGAGGAGAACUACACAUCUCAUGUACAGGAAAAUGGUAUAAAAAAUACAAAAAAGGUCAAAUAAAAAAAUGUAUAAAAAAAAUAACCACUAAACAUUAGCAAAAUGUCCAACAGCUAAGAUUCAGACUAUUUCAGACCCGUUACUUGCCUUGUUAUUACAGGGAACCUCCCAGCAUGACCCCCUCCAGGGACGGCUCAAUAGGGAACCUCGGAUUAUUGCAAUUCUAUGUAAUGCAAUACACCCCCCCC
Molecule: long non-coding RNA, 1721 nt
Organism: Bufo bufo (common toad)
Lineage: Eukaryota; Metazoa; Chordata; Amphibia; Anura; Bufonidae
Exons: 2
Source: RefSeq, a predicted model, not a curated record